CAACUAACGCCAAAACAUCACUAACCCUAAUACCCUUCCCUCCUUCUUCAUGCAAAAAAGACCCUAGCAGAACGAAAGAAGAAGCAGCAACCGAACACCCCGAACACCCCUAAGAGAUCCCAGCGACAUCUCUUCACCGUUGAUUCGUUGACCACCUCCAUACACCAACGACCCCUGCUUCUGUCAACCAGCGCACGACCACCACAACUAGCCGAACACCAUCCCCAGAACACGCCGCCAAGCUCGUCGAAGAAACAGCGGCAGCACCGCCCCCAACUUCCCCAAAUCACAUGAAAGUUUCAGUUUCUUUUUGAUUUCGUUAGUUCUCAAAUCCGAAGGAAAAAAUCUGUUUCCUCUUCUCCAUUUCAAUUAUGUUUUUUUUGUAGAAAUGGAGUUUUAAAUGGAGUCAUUUUGGGUUCGAGUUGAAGCAAUGGUAGAGGCCCGUUCGGGGCUCGGUUCGCAUUUCUGUUCGAAGCUAGUUCGUUCGAGUUCCGUUCGUCUCAAAUUUUGGCUUACCUUGCUUAUGUAAUUGCUAAAAAAUUUAAUUAAUUGAAGUUUUAAUUUCGGGGUUUCAAGUUAUAGUGUCUAAGUUGAAGUUUCUUUUCUGUCCAAAUAAUCCAUACUGUAUUUGGGAUCUGUUGGUUUGCUUAGAGAAAUUCAAAGAGGAGGAGAGGCAGAAAGGUUCCAGGUUUCUUUUCUGUCCAAAUAAUCCAUACUGUAUUUGGGAUCUGUUGGUUUGCUUAGAGAAAUUCAAAGAGGAGGAGAGGCCGAAAGGUUCCAAGUUUCAUGGCUGAUAUUAUUGCUUAUCAAUUUUCUCAUCCGAUUUUAUGUUGGAGAUUUCAACAAAAAAAAUAUGUAUAUAUAAAGGAGACCAUGAUUCUGUUUUAAAUCAAUUAGGAAAGAUAAAAUAUACCAAAUAUUUCUUUUUCUUCUAUUCAGUUUCGAAACUUUGGUUUUUGAUGGAGUUUGAAUGAGGCUG
RNAcentral lists this long non-coding RNA (979 nucleotides) under Nicotiana benthamiana. RNAcentral's name for it is "long non-coding RNA (NBEN_LNC034187)". Lineage: Eukaryota; Viridiplantae; Streptophyta; Magnoliopsida; Solanales; Solanaceae. The record is from RNAcentral.